Molecule: ribosomal RNA, 481 nt
Filed under: uncultured bacterium
Lineage: Bacteria
Description: partial 16S ribosomal RNA
Rfam family: Bacterial small subunit ribosomal RNA
Source: RNAcentral
ACUCAAAUGAAUUGACGGGGACCCGCACAAGCAGCGGAGCGUGUGGUUUAAUUCGAUGCAACGCGAAGAACCUUACCAGGGCUUGACAUGCAUUUGCAAGGCUGUGAAAGCAGCCCCUCCUUCGGGACAGAUGCACAGAUGUUGCAUGGCUGUCGUCAGCUCGUGUCGUGAGAUGUUGGGUUAAGUCCCGCAACGAGCGCAACCCUUGUUUCUAGUUGACAAUCUAGAGAGACUGCCGGAAACAAACCGGAGGAAGGUGGGGAUGACGUCAAGUCAGCAUGACUCUUACGUCCUGGGCUACACACACGCUACAAUGGACGGUACAGCGAGAAGCCACCCCGCGAGGGGGAGCAGAUCUCUAAAAACCGUCCCCAGUUCAGAUUGCACUCUGCAACCCGAGUGCAUGAAGUCGGAGUUGCUAGUAACCGCGUGUCAGCAUAGCGCGGUGAAUAUGUUCCCGGGUCUUGUACACACCGCCCGU